This 557-nucleotide ribosomal RNA is filed under the name Candida tropicalis. Its description in RNAcentral is "eukaryotic LSU rRNA". The stretch from base 187 to 340 matches the Rfam family "5.8S ribosomal RNA". Lineage: Eukaryota; Fungi; Ascomycota; Pichiomycetes; Serinales; Debaryomycetaceae. The record is from RNAcentral.
UGUCCAUUUCCCCUCCCGGGGGGGGGGGGCGAAGGGAAGGAUCAUUACUGAUUUGCUUAAUUGCACCACAUGUGUUUUUUAUUGAACAAAUUUCUUUGGUGGCGGGAGCAAUCCUACCGCCAGAGGUUAUAACUAAACCAAACUUUUUAUUUACAGUCAAACUUGAUUUAUUAUUACAAUAGUCAAAACUUUCAACAACGGAUCUCUUGGUUCUCGCAUCGAUGAAGAACGCAGCGAAAUGCGAUACGUAAUAUGAAUUGCAGAUAUUCGUGAAUCAUCGAAUCUUUGAACGCACAUUGCGCCCUUUGGUAUUCCAAAGGGCAUGCCUGUUUGAGCGUCAUUUCUCCCUCAAACCCCCGGGUUUGGUGUUGAGCAAUACGCUAGGUUUGUUUGAAAGAAUUUAACGUGGAAACUUAUUUUAAGCGACUUAGGUUUAUCCAAAAACGCUUAUUUUGCUAGUGGCCACCACAAUUUAUUUCAUAACUUUGACCUCAAAUCAGGUAGGACUACCCGCUGAACUUAAGCUUGAAGAGAUAGAGAGAAGGAAAUUUGGCCCG